RNAcentral lists this ribosomal RNA (423 nucleotides) under Triticum aestivum (bread wheat). RNAcentral's name for it is "partial small subunit ribosomal RNA". The record is from RNAcentral. Lineage: Eukaryota; Viridiplantae; Streptophyta; Magnoliopsida; Poales; Poaceae.
AUGGACGGGCGAGCAAAGGGGCAUCGAGGCGCUGAAGAUGAAGAAGACAAGGCGAGAGGGACGGCGCAAGACGGCGGUGCUCGUCAACGGGGCUUGGCGGAGAGCAGCAGCAGCGGGGCUUCCUGCCGACGUGGGGAGGCAGAACGACGAAACAUGAGGCCGACGAGGUGUUGCGCGAUGAUGGCCUCGGGAGGGCCAUGGCAUGGUGCAGGCAGGGAGCAUCUCAGGCUGCUGCUGCUCGCGUGCUCCAGCGCGGGCGGAGCUAGCAGUGAGGAGGAGAAGGGAGCUGGGGCGCACCAGAGGUGGAGUGGCGCCUGGUCGCCGGCGAGGUGGCCGUCCGGCCGAGGAGACGAGCGCGAGGACUGCAGGGGAGAGGUGGAACGGGUGAGGGACGAAGGAAUACAGAGAGGAGGCGGCGGCUAG